This 222-nucleotide ribosomal RNA is filed under the name uncultured bacterium. RNAcentral describes it as "partial 16S ribosomal RNA". It matches the Rfam family "Bacterial small subunit ribosomal RNA", at positions 109 to 334 of the family's 1533-position model. The record is from RNAcentral.
AGUAAUGCUUGGGAAUCUAGCUUAUGGAGGGGGAUAACUAUGGGAAACUGUAGCUAAUACCGCGUAGAAUCGGGAGAUGAAAGUGUGGGACCUUCGGGCCACAUGCCAUAGGAUGAGCCCAAGUGGGAUUAGGUAGUUGGUGAGGUAAAGGCUCACCAAGCCGACGAUCUCUAGCUGGUCUGAGAGGAUGACCAGCCACACUGGAACUGAGACACGGUCCAG